AGAUUUGCACUAAAAGUGCUCACCUCACCAUACGCCACACGGGAUGAAGUGCUGAACUAAAACCAAUUAAUAAACAAAUGGAACAAUGAUUAACCUCUUUAUAUUAUUGUGUACUCACGACCCUGUUUAAGACAGGUAAUCACAAAAGCAGAGCUAGACAACACAAGUAUGAAUGAGAUUUUAACACAAACGGUAAAGUAGCAAAGAAUUGUGAGAAAGGAAGAACCAUCCAGUCGAGGCCCCCAAUAAAUCGUCUCCCUCCGCAAAGUCGAUCCUGAAACAAGUAAUAAUUCUAUACAUAAGUGUGCAUAAAAGGAUAGCUCACCGACCAAGCCAACUUCUCUGAGGAUGGACUUCUCCAUCGUUCAUCAGCUUAUCCAACACUAUG
RNAcentral lists this unclassified non-coding RNA (388 nucleotides) under Hevea brasiliensis (rubber tree). Lineage: Eukaryota; Viridiplantae; Streptophyta; Magnoliopsida; Malpighiales; Euphorbiaceae. The record is from RNAcentral.